RNAcentral lists this long non-coding RNA (603 nucleotides) under Phoenix dactylifera (date palm). RNAcentral's name for it is "long non-coding RNA (PDAC_LNC020675)". Lineage: Eukaryota; Viridiplantae; Streptophyta; Magnoliopsida; Arecales; Arecaceae. The record is from RNAcentral.
UUUAGGGAAGAGAUUUGAAAGAGAUUACAAGGAAAAUCUCCCAUAAGCACAAAAGGGCCAUUCAAAGUAAAAUAGAGAGAAGAAGAGCAUCCAAGUGAAUCCCAAAGCUUCCUCUCCAUCCGUGUGCUGCCUCGGAGAUCCUCUACUUCGUGCAAAAUCAGAAGAGGGGCAAGUGAAGAAGAAGCCGAGUUCCUCCAUCUACAAAUUAGUUUGAGGGCUUCUUCUCUUUUCUUUACUUAUUUACAUUUGCUAUAUUUGCUUAUUUGAGAAGUUUGUAUUUGAUUUAAACUCUUGUUCUAAUAUCUUGUAACUUGAUUCAAUCAAGGGAUUGAAUCAAGGGAUUAAGGUUUGUUGGUGAGCCAAAGGGAAAAACCAACGUUGUAAGGUUGUGGUUGGUGAGCCUUUGGGGAAAACCAACCGGGUUGAUUGUGAACCCGGAAAACAAUCAUUGUAAGGUUGUGGUUGGUGAGCCUUUGGGAAAACCAACUGGGUUGGAUUGUGAGUCCGUGAAAACAAUCGGUUGGUUCUAGUCGGUGAGCCUGUGAAAACCGACCGAGUUCGUUGUGAUCUCACAAAACAACAAGUUGGGUUGUGAGCUUGUAA